GACGAACGCUGGCGGCGUGCUUAACACAUGCAAGUCGAACGGUAAGGCUCCAGCUUGCUGGGGUACACGAGUGGCGAACGGGUGAGUAACACGUGGGUGACCUGCCCUGCACUUCGGGAUAAGCCUGGGAAACUGGGUCUAAUACCGGAUAGGACCGCACCGUGAGGGUGUGGUGGAAAGUUUUUUCGGUGUGGGAUGGGCCCGCGGCCUAUCAGCUUGUUGGUGGGGUAAUGGCCUACCAAGGCGGCGACGGGUAGCCGGCCUGAGAGGGUGGACGGCCACAUUGGGACUGAGACACGGCCCGGGCUCCUACGGGAGGCAGCAGUGGGGAAUAUUGCACAAUGGGCGGAAGCCUGAUGCAGCGACGCCGCGUGGGGGAUGACGGCCUUCGGGUUGUAAACUCCUUUCACCAUCGACGAAGGGUUUCUGACGGUAGAUGGAGAAGAAGCACCGGCUAACUACGUGCCAGCAGCCGCGGUAAUACGUAGGGUGCGAGCGUUGUCCGGAAUUACUGGGCGUAAAGAGCUCGUAGGUGGUUUGUCGCGUCGUCUGUGAAAUUCCGGGGCUUAACUCCGGGCGUGCAGGCGAUACGGGCAUAACUUGAGUACUGUAGGGGAGACUGGAAUUCCUGGUGUAGCGGUGAAAUGCGCAGAUAUCAGGAGGAACACCGGUGGCGAAGGCGGGUCUCUGGGCAGUAACUGACGCUGAGGAGCGAAAGCAUGGGGAGCGAACGGGAUUAGAUACCCUGGUAGUCCAUGCCGUAAACGGUGGGCGCUAGGUGUGGGUUUCCUUCCACGGGAUCCGUGCCGUAGCUAACGCAUUAAGCGCCCCGCCUGGGGAGUACGGCCGCAAGGCUAAAACUCAAAGGAAUUGACGGGGGCCCGCACAAGCGGCGGAGCAUGUGGAUUAAUUCGAUGCAACGCGAAGAACCUUACCUGGGCUUGACAUAUACAGGAUCGCGCCAGAGAUGGUGUUUCCCUUGUGGCUUGUAUACAGGUGGUGCAUGGUUGUCGUCAGCUCGUGUCGUGAGAUGUUGGGUUAAGUCCCGCAACGAGCGCAACCCUUGUCUUAUGUUGCCAGCACGUUGUGGUGGGGACUCGUAAGAAACUGCCGGGGUUAACUCGGAGGAAGGUGGGGAUGACGUCAAAUCAUCAUGCCCCUUAUGUCCAGGGCUUCACACAUGCUACAAUGGUCGGUACAGUGGGUUGCCAGUCCGUGAGGGCGAGCUAAUCCCGCACAGCCGGUCUCAGUUCGGAUCGGGGUCUGCAACUCGACCCCGUGAAGUCGGAGUCGCUAGUAAUCGCAGAUCAGCAACGCUGCGGUGAAUACGUUCCCGGGCCU
This 1341-nucleotide ribosomal RNA is filed under the name uncultured bacterium. Its description in RNAcentral is "16S ribosomal RNA". It matches the Rfam family "Bacterial small subunit ribosomal RNA", at positions 28 to 1381 of the family's 1533-position model. The record is from RNAcentral.